This 435-nucleotide long non-coding RNA is filed under the name Physcomitrium patens. RNAcentral describes it as "long non-coding RNA (PPAT_LNC008271)". Lineage: Eukaryota; Viridiplantae; Streptophyta; Bryopsida; Funariales; Funariaceae. The record is from RNAcentral.
UCUCAAAUUUAUAGGAUAGGUAGAAUUCACCCAUAAAUUUUAUCAAAAAAAAAAACCAACCACAAAUUCACUCCCAAUCUUUUGGCAUCUAAGAAACCCUAGCAGACGCUUUAAACCCUAAUUUACAAGCACUUGAGCACUAUUUUCUUAAUAUCUCUAGAAUCCAAUACUCAAAUGUCAUAAAACUUAUGUACAAAGAUUAUUUACAUGAAAUCACACAUUUCCUGAAAAUUUGAGCCAAAAUCUUGUCAAAUUGCUUAAGAUAUAGCUCAAGAUACAACCACUAGUAAAUCGGGUCACUUACUACCCUUAGAUUGCAUGUGCUGACUUCAAAAUCCAUAAUUCCUUCACUCCAACUUGGAAUCCAGCAAACACUAUGUAAAAAGUGUAGCCGCAAAAGUGCUCUCUUUAGUUGCAGUCGCCGAUCCUCAAUUG